RNAcentral lists this ribosomal RNA (405 nucleotides) under uncultured bacterium. RNAcentral's name for it is "partial 16S ribosomal RNA". It matches the Rfam family "Bacterial small subunit ribosomal RNA", at positions 28 to 526 of the family's 1533-position model. The record is from RNAcentral.
GAUGAACGCUGGCGGCGUGCCUAAUACAUGCAAGUCGAGCGAAGUGGGGACGGGUGAGUAAUACGUGGAUAACCUCCCCUAAGUCUGGGAUAACUUCUGGAAACCGGAGCUAAACUCGAUACUUAUAGUAGGAUCCGGGCUGCAGUAGCUAGUUGGUAAGUUAACGGCUUACCAAGGCUACGAUGCAUAGCCGACCUGAGAGGAUGAUCGGCAACACGGGAGCGGAGACACGGUGCAGACUCGUAAGGGAGGCAGCAGUAGGGAAUCUUCCGCAAUGAGCGGAAGGCUGACGGGGCAACGCCGCGUGAGUGAUGAAGGGCUUCGGAUCGUAAAGCACUGUUAUUAGGGAAGCGGUACCUAAUCAGAAAGCAACGGCUAACUACGUGCCAGCAGCCGCGGUAAUAC